AGAAUUGAUCUGGUCAGAACGAACGCUGGCGGCAUGCCUAAUACAUGCAAGUCGAACGGAGAUAGCAAUAUCUUAGUGGCGAACGGGUGCGUAACACGUGAGCAACCUGCCUUAUACAUCGGAAUAACAGCUGGAAACGGCUGCUAAUACCGGAUAAGACCACACCAAGGCAUCUUGGAGAGGUCAAAGCGAAUUAGCGGUAUAAGAUGGGCUCGCGUCCAAUUAGCUAGUUGGUGGGGUAACGGCCUACCAAGGCAACGAUUGGUAGCCGACUUGAGAGAGUGAUCGGCCACACUGGAACUGAGACACGGUCCGGACUCCUACGGGAGGCAGCAGUAGGGAAUAUUGGGCAAUGGAGGAAAAACCUCUUACCCAGCAAUGCCGCGUGAAUGAUGAAGGUCUUAUGGAUUGUAAAGUUCUUUAAUUGGGGACGAAAGAAAUGACGGUACCCAAAGAAUAAGCCCCGGCUAACUAUGUGCCAGCCGCCGC
This 489-nucleotide ribosomal RNA is filed under the name uncultured bacterium. RNAcentral's name for it is "bacterial SSU rRNA". It matches the Rfam family "Bacterial small subunit ribosomal RNA", at positions 1 to 518 of the family's 1533-position model. The record is from RNAcentral.